Molecule: ribosomal RNA, 498 nt
Filed under: uncultured bacterium
Lineage: Bacteria
Description: partial 16S ribosomal RNA
Rfam family: Bacterial small subunit ribosomal RNA
Source: RNAcentral
GAUGAACGCUAGCGGCAGGCCUAAUACAUGCAAGUCGGACGGGAUUUGGGAGCUUGCUCCUAAUGAGAGUGGCGCACGGGUGCGUAACACGUAUGUAACCUACCUUAAUCAGGGGGAUAGCCUCUCGAAAGAGAGAUUAACACCGCAUAAUAUAUUUUUAUGGCAUCGUAGAAAUAUCAAAUAUUUAUAGGAUUAAGAUGGGCAUGCGGAACAUUAGCUAGUUGGUAAGGUAACGGCUUACCAAGGCUACGAUGUUUAGGGGAUCUGAGAGGAUGACCCCCCACACUGGUACUGAGACACGGACCAGACUCCUACGGGAGGCAGCAGUAAAGAAUAUUGGUCAAUGGGCGCAAGCCUGAACCAGCCAUGCCGCGUGCAGGAAGACGGCCCUAUGGGUUGUAAACUGCUUUUGUACCGGAAUAAACCCUUUUACGUGUAAAAGGCUGAAUGUACGGUAAGAAUAAGGAUCGGCUAACUCCGUGCCAGCCGCCGCGGUAA